This 303-nucleotide long non-coding RNA is filed under the name Salmo salar (Atlantic salmon). RNAcentral's name for it is "lncRNA (ENSSSAG00000116597.1)". The record is from RNAcentral. Lineage: Eukaryota; Metazoa; Chordata; Actinopteri; Salmoniformes; Salmonidae.
CUCACAAACACACUCUCUUCUCACACACUGUCACACACUCUGUUCUCACACACUGUCAGAAACUCUCCCGGCUGCGUUCAUUACAGUCCGUUGCUCUUUCCAAACACAGGGACAGGAGCAGAAUGACUGGGCUUUAACCUGGUGGAGGGGAAAGUUUCCCUCACUGGGGGUAAACAGACUGAGGACACACUGGGACUACUAUACUGGACUACUGUACCAAUACCACCCUCAUGACGAAUGAAGUGACAGGAGAGAGCAGACAGCAGGACAGAGGAGCUGUAAGCUGCUGGUACACAUGGUGCU